UACGAAGGGGGCUAGCGUUGUUCGGAAUUACUGGGCGUAAAGCGUGCGCAGGCGGUUUCCCAAGUCAGUGGUGAAAGCCCGGAGCUCAACUCCGGAACUGCCAUUGAAACUGUGAAGCUCGAGGACGAGAGAGGUGAGUGGAAUUCCCAGUGUAGAGGUGAAAUUCGUAGAUAUUGGGAAGAACACCAGUGGCGAAGGCGGCUCACUGGCUCGUAACUGACGCUCAUGCACGACAGCGUGGGGAUCAAACAGG
RNAcentral lists this ribosomal RNA (253 nucleotides) under uncultured bacterium. RNAcentral describes it as "partial 16S ribosomal RNA". It matches the Rfam family "Bacterial small subunit ribosomal RNA", at positions 524 to 776 of the family's 1533-position model. The record is from RNAcentral.